This 223-nucleotide long non-coding RNA is filed under the name Mytilus galloprovincialis (Mediterranean mussel). Lineage: Eukaryota; Metazoa; Mollusca; Bivalvia; Mytilida; Mytilidae. The record is from RNAcentral.
CCCAGAAAUAUGCCCAGAAAAAGAAUCAGAUCUACCGUGAACAGUAUACCAAUUCGAAAAAAAAAUUAUAUCUGUUUUUUUAUCAAUUGAUUUGUUAUUGGGUCCUUAUCUAUAUUAAUUCUCACUUAGAACUUUCAUAGGACCCCGUUUAAUGUGGACAUCUACACUGGAAAUAGAAUUAACAAUAGGCAUAUGCAUACAGUAUUUUUAUCAAAGAAUCUUG